This 253-nucleotide ribosomal RNA is filed under the name uncultured bacterium. RNAcentral's name for it is "partial 16S ribosomal RNA". It matches the Rfam family "Bacterial small subunit ribosomal RNA", at positions 524 to 776 of the family's 1533-position model. The record is from RNAcentral.
UACGAAGGGGGCUAGCGUUGUUCGGAUUUACUGGGCGUAAAGCGCACGUAGGCGGAUCGUUAAGUCGGGGGUGAAAUCCUGGAGCGCAACUCCAGAACUGCCUUCGAUACUGGCGAUCUUGAGUCCGGAAGAGGUGAGUGGAACUCCUAGUGUAGAGGUGAAAUUCGUAGAUAUUAGCUAGAACACCAGUGGCGAAGGCGGCCAACUGGUCCGGUACUGACGCUGAGGUGCGAAAGCGUGGGGAGCAAACAGG